UACGGGGGGGGCAAGCGUUGUUCGGAAUUACUGGGCGUAAAGGGCCCGUAGGUGGUCAACUAAGUCAUACGUGAAAUCCCUCGGCUUAACCGGGGAACUGCGCCUGAUACUGGGUGGCUUGAAUCCGGGAGAGGGAUGCGGAAUUCCAGGUGUAGCGGUGAAAUGCGUAGAUAUCUGGAGGAACACCGGUGGCGAAGGCGGCAUCCUGGACCGGUAUUGACGCUGAGGCGCGAAAGCCAGGGGAGCAAACGGG
RNAcentral lists this ribosomal RNA (253 nucleotides) under uncultured bacterium. RNAcentral describes it as "partial 16S ribosomal RNA". It matches the Rfam family "Bacterial small subunit ribosomal RNA", at positions 524 to 776 of the family's 1533-position model. The record is from RNAcentral.